AUAUUAAGUGGGUGAGUUUAUAACUACACCUCUCAUUGUACCUUUAUAUACGUACCUGUGCAAACAGUAUACCUUGUUUUGGUGCUUAGUGUCGCUUUAAAGCCAAUGUGCUCAAUGUACAGAACUGAACUCUACCUGUCUUCUUUAAAGAAACAAUUUUCCAGAGAGGGAAAGUUUCUCUUAUUAAUGUAGGCUAGAGCCAGUUAUCUGUGAU
Molecule: non-coding RNA, 214 nt
Organism: Pelobates cultripes (western spadefoot toad)
Lineage: Eukaryota; Metazoa; Chordata; Amphibia; Anura; Pelobatidae
Source: the annotation of a GenBank genome assembly